GACGAACGCUGGCGGCGUGCCUAACACAUGCAAGUCGAGCGGAGUCGAUCGACGGAAGCCUUCGGGCGGAAGAUGGUUGACUUAGCGGCGGAUGGGUGAGUAACGCGUGGGCAACCUGCCUCGAAGACCGGGAUAACAGCCCGAAAGGGCUGCUAAUACCGGAUGUGGUCAAGGAUCCGCAUGGAUUUUUGAUUAAAGGGGAAACCCGUUUCGAGAUGGGCCCGCGUCCUAUCAGCUAGUUGGUGAGGUAAAAGCUCACCAAGGCGACGACGGGUAGCCGGCCUGAGAGGGUGACCGGCCACACUGGAACUGAGACACGGUCCAGACUCCUACGGGGGCAGCAGUGGGGAAUCUUCCACAAUGGGCGAAAGCCUGAUGGAGCGACGCCGCGUGAGCGAAGAAGGCCUUCGGUUGUAAAGCUCUGUCUGGAGGGACGAAGGAAGGUGACGGUACCGUCCGGACGGAAGCCACGGCGUAACUACGUG
This 485-nucleotide ribosomal RNA is filed under the name uncultured bacterium. Its description in RNAcentral is "bacterial SSU rRNA". It matches the Rfam family "Bacterial small subunit ribosomal RNA", at positions 28 to 507 of the family's 1533-position model. The record is from RNAcentral.